UGGGGAAUCUUGGACAAUGGGGGCAACCCUGAUCCAGCGACGCCGCGUGGGUGACGAAGGCCUUAGGGUUGUAAAGCCCUUUUCUCGGGGAAGAUGAUGACGGUACCCGAGGAAUAAGCACCGGCUAACUCCGUGCCAGCAGCCGCGGUAAGACGGAGGGUGCUAGCGUUGUUCGGAAUUACUGGGCGUAAAGGGCGCGUAGGCGGCCAGGGAAGUCGGAUGUGAAAGCCCGGGGCUCAACCUCGGAAUUGCAUUCGAAACUUCUUGGCUAGAGAACGGAAGAGGAGAGUGGAAUACCCAGUGUAGAGGUGAAAUUCGUAGAUAUUGGGUGGAACACCGGUGGCGAAAGCGGCUCUCUGGUCCGGUUCUGACGCUGAGGCGCGAAAGCGUGGGGAGCAAACAGGAUUAGAUACCCCCGUAGUCC
This 424-nucleotide ribosomal RNA is filed under the name uncultured prokaryote. Its description in RNAcentral is "bacterial SSU rRNA". It matches the Rfam family "Bacterial small subunit ribosomal RNA", at positions 355 to 796 of the family's 1533-position model. The record is from RNAcentral.